CAAAAAAACAAGAGAAAAUGGAUCGGUGUAAACAUUGGCUUUGCAGAGAACUGUAAUGGGUAAUGGCUGAGGAAAUCAUCUUGCAAAGUCACUGAAGAAGCCAAAAUAUGAAUUCCUUUGCCCCCGGUGCAUGUCAGCCCAAUGCCCACCUCAUGAGACCUCAUAAAACACAAGGAACGGUUCCCAAGUCCUGAAGGCAAAUCUGCACAAGAUUUAAAAUGUCGGGAUAAGGCUGCUGCCCGAGCUGGGAGAAGAAAUCAUAACUGGAACGAGGAGGUGUUCACCUAUUGGUUGGCUCUGGAGGAAGAGCUGGUAUACUCUGCCAGGGCCUUUGAGUGCUGCUAACGGGCAGGAUAAGAAAUAGGACAGUGAGCCUCAAGAAUUUUAUUCCAAGCUUUCUACCAGGCAAGGAAAAUUGGGUCUUUCAUUUUCUAGAGAUAGCAAAAGAGAGCAAGUAUCCGCUGCCAUUAUGUUUCACACUGACAGUGAGUUAACACCUCUGCAGACAAACUCGAAGCUUGGAUAUGCAGCUCUGGGAGGAGAGGUUCAGCUACCUGUAUGACAAAUAUCUGCCAGCUGGGUUUCAACACACGGAAAGUACAACUGCAGCCGUUGCUCUGCAUCAACACAUUUGGUCUUGCAAGUCUUUCAAAAACAAGAAUUUUUUAACAGGAAUUUGUCACGAAAUUUGAACGAAGUACCAUUUGGGUUAACAAAAAGAAAAGGGUCAAAGAUGCAAAUUAAAUGAGGGAAAAGAAAAGAAACCUCUUAGGUACAGCAGACAAAACACAUUCUGAACCCCUAGUUCUGCUGCAGCACUGUGUGGCUGACAUGGAGGAACAGAUAUUUUUGUUAGACAGCUCCACAGCAGCCCUGUUUGAUGACUUGAAAGCUGGGGAAAACUCACAUCACCCCAUCAAACACUUCUUCAUCCAUCAAGAAGACCAAGAGAUCUGACUUGGUAGUGAUUUCAGUAGUGUACUAAAGAGCCUGUGUUGUUUUAAGUACAAGUGAUCCCGCUGAUUAGAUAGAAAGCACUAGAAAGAAAAGAAAAAAAAAAAGAUCACAGGUGUUCACAAGUGUGAAUUUAGUGAAAAUUACCCAGAGGUUGAAUUUAAUUGGAAAUCUUAACGUUGUAUGUUCAGGUCUAAUAGUGCCUUGCCAUGCUAAGAAUCCAAAUGCAACGGUACAGAGUGAAAAAGAAAGAAAGCCUUAAAAUCAACAUAGUUAGGAGACGCAUCACCAAAACCUCACAUAGAGAUAUCUGGCAUGGAAGUGCUAAAAGAAGUACUUUGCCAAACACUUGUUGGAAAGGACAAAUGUUGUUUUCACUCAAGUCUAUGAAAUGAAGGGGGAAAAGGAAAACAAAACAAAACAAAACAACAAAAACAGCCCAGGAGCUAUUAUUUGUAGCUGUGCUUUCUCUGCAGACUUUGCCUGUCCAAAGGUACCACGCUGGUUAUCACUUUGAAUUGGAGAAAUCCAGAUUUUCUUCCACUCCGCAGCAAUGCCGGAGCGCACACAGUGAUUUCUGUCUGCGUCAGAAAGACUUCAGAUGGAAAGCUAACGUAAAGAGCUUCAGAACACAGACAUCACAAAUAGAUAAUUAAUCUAUGCAGAAAAAAAGAACCCACAACAGGAGCCCAUUGUAAGAUUUCAGAGCUGCUGAGAGCAUACUUGCAAGAAAUUAUCGCUCCUACAGUGGUUACCGUUUUUCUGUAUUCUUUAAACAUUCUGACUUAAAAUCUCAAAAUGCGUUCCUAUGUCAGUGACAAUCUUAAUAGAGCCCAAUUAGUUCCACAAGGCACUCUGUGAUGCACAAGCCCCUGCCUUGAUUGCGGUGAAUGGUGGGUAUUUCCUGUGUUUAAGUCCACAUAUGGAUCGAGUAAGGCGGUGGCAGAGAGACUACUGUUUUCCUUCACUACAUCUUCAUUUCUUUUUCACAGGCUAAGCCUUUUUUGUUUUUCCUGGCUCUGUUGUCAAAACACUGACCAGAGUUUUGGCUCAUGGUAUUGGAACGGGAGGCCAAAACAAUCCUCUGGAAACCAGUGUGGCAAAAUGUAUUUUAGAUCUCUACAUUCACCGUUCAGCCAUGCG
RNAcentral lists this long non-coding RNA (2097 nucleotides) under Gallus gallus (chicken). Its description in RNAcentral is "lncRNA (ENSGALG00010004768.1)". The record is from RNAcentral. Lineage: Eukaryota; Metazoa; Chordata; Aves; Galliformes; Phasianidae.